UGACUGUAGGUGAAAGCUUACAUCUCUUCGGAGCAUUUUACGAGGUGCUGCAUGGUUGUCGUCAGCUCGUGCCGUGAGGUGUCGGGUUAAGUCCCAUAACGAGCGCAACCCUACCCUUUAGUUGCCAUCAGGUAAUGCUGGGGACUCUAAAGGAACUGCCUACGCAAGUAGUGAGGAAGGCGGGGAUGACGUCAAAUCAGCACGGCCCUUACGUCCAGGGCUACACACGUGCUACAAUGGCCGAUACAGAGGGCAGCUACCUGGUGACAGGAUGCAAAUCUCCAAAGUCGGUCUCAGUUCGGAUCGGAGUCUGCAACCCGACUCCGUGAAGUUGGAUUCGCUAGUAAUCGCGCAUCAGCCAUGGCGCGGUGAAUACGUUCCCGGGCCUU
RNAcentral lists this ribosomal RNA (389 nucleotides) under uncultured Sphingobacteriales bacterium. RNAcentral's name for it is "bacterial SSU rRNA". It matches the Rfam family "Bacterial small subunit ribosomal RNA", at positions 992 to 1382 of the family's 1533-position model. The record is from RNAcentral. Lineage: Bacteria; Pseudomonadati; Bacteroidota; Sphingobacteriia; Sphingobacteriales.